CCUGGAUAGAGGCAGAGCUCUUCACCAAGAGGCAGGCCUUUGAAGUAGGAGUUAAAUAAACUUCCUCUACCACAGAUCAGUGUGAUACCAAGGGUGCAGCUUGGAGGAGUGAGGCCUCAUGAUUUCCCUGCCCUGCUGCCAGCUGGUGCUGUGUCAACCUACCUGGGCAGUGAAUCCAGGCAGUGGUAGCAUUCUCUGGAUGUGAUGAGGGCUGAGAGCCCCAGCUGUGAGCAGAGCUUCCUCGGGGCAACAGCAGCCUGAAAGAGUGUCACCUGGCUCCUGGCUGCCUGUAGAGUGGAUAAGCAGCCCUCCCAGAGUAAAAGGGCUGCCCACCUGAGCUUGCAAGCUGGGCAGGAGGCAGCUGGGCUCACCUGGCUGCCACUGCUGCUUGCUAGGAGCUACUUCCAGGCUUGGCUUCUCUUGACCAAACCCACCAAAAUGCCCCAAAAGGUGGAAACUGAAAGACGUGGCAAGAAUUUUUAAGAUAAUGCUUUGAGUGUGGUUCUAGGUUAAUAUUGUCAUAUUACAUACUUCAUGAUGGAAAAUAAGCACUACAGUCAUCUUGUGCUCAGACUGAGCUAUGCACGUGUUACAAAUGAAAAUGAAGAUAUGCUUGCUUGUGAAUUCAAUCAACAGAAAAACUCAAAUAUACAAAACUGAGAAUGGCAUAUAUUCAGUCAUAUGUCAAAGCACAAUUUUUUCUGCCUUCCUAAUGUAGUGUAACUUGUCAUGGCCAAAUUAUAUUCCUGAAGCUACCACAAAUCAGCUCAGCUGAAGUCAUACUCUGUUUCCAGUCAGCAAAUGAUCUUUUCCUUGUUCCUUUUGCAAUUCCUGACAAAAUUUUAACGGUCUGCUUUGUUUUAAAAAACAUAACAGCACAAGUUAGAAUGAAAACGAUUUAAUAAAUGCCACAAUUAAAAAGAAGAAGAAGAAAAAAGAGU
Numida meleagris (helmeted guineafowl) is the source of this 941-nucleotide long non-coding RNA. RefSeq lists it as uncharacterized. The transcript is spliced from 3 exons. Lineage: Eukaryota; Metazoa; Chordata; Aves; Galliformes; Numididae. The record is from RefSeq and is a predicted model, not a curated record.